Molecule: non-coding RNA, 266 nt
Organism: Pelobates cultripes (western spadefoot toad)
Lineage: Eukaryota; Metazoa; Chordata; Amphibia; Anura; Pelobatidae
Source: the annotation of a GenBank genome assembly
CGCAAUUAUUGUCGUCUCUGUUGGAAUCUCUAAGGAAAGCGGAACAAAAACAUAAACCUAACCCUACUCCAAGCACUUUAACCCCUUAAGGACGGAGCCAGAUGUACAUGUUGUGAACAAAACAAAAUGUAAACAAAACCUGGCAUUUGCGCUACAUGUCUGUCCAACCGUAAUUCACCUCUUUCAUAGUAAAUGCACCUACCCUUAUUAUAUAUCAUUUUAUUCAGGGGAAACAGGGCUUUCAUUUAAUAUCAAAUAUUUAGCUG